GAUGAACGCUGACAGAAUGCUUAACACAUGCAAGUCUACUUGAAUUUGGGUUUUUUAACUUAGAUUUGGGUGGCGGACGGGUGAGUAACGCGUAAAGAACUUGCCUCACAGCUAGGGACAACAUUUGGAAACGAAUGCUAAUACCUGAUAUUAUGAUUAUAAGGCAUCUUAGAAUUAUGAAAGCUAUAUGCGCUGUGAGAGAGCUUUGCGUCCCAUUAGCUAGUUGGAGAGGUAACGGCUCACCAAGGCGAUGAUGGGUAGCCGGCCUGGGAGGGUGAACGGCCACAAGGGGACUGGGACACGGCCCUUACUCCUACGGGAGGCAGCAGUGGGGAAUAUUGGACGAUGGACCAAGAGUCUGAUCCAGCAAUUCUGUGUGCACGAUGACGUUUUUCGGAAUGUAAAGUGCUUUCAGUUGGGAAGAAAAAAAUGACGGUACCAACAGAAGAAGUGACGGCUAAAUACGUG
This 468-nucleotide ribosomal RNA is filed under the name uncultured bacterium. RNAcentral's name for it is "partial 16S ribosomal RNA". It matches the Rfam family "Bacterial small subunit ribosomal RNA", at positions 28 to 507 of the family's 1533-position model. The record is from RNAcentral.